GCAGUCGAGGGGUAACAGGGGAGCUUGCUUCCGCUGACGACCGGCGCACGGGUGCGUAACGCGUAUGCAACUUGCCCCCUUCAGGAGGAUAGCCCGGAGAAAUUCGGAUUAAUACUCCAUAAUAUAAUAAGAUCGCAUGGUCUAAUUAUUAAAGAUUUAUCGGAAGGGGAUGGGCAUGCGUCCCAUUAGCUAGUUGGUAAGGUAACGGCUUACCAAGGCAUCGAUGGGUAGGGGUUCUGAGAGGAUGAUCCCCCACACUGGUACUGAGACACGGACCAGACUCCUACGGGAGGCAGCAGUAGGGAAUAUUGGGCAAUGGGGGCAACUCUGACCCAGCCAUGCCGCGUGAACGAAGAAGGCCUUCGGGUCGUAAAGUUCUUUUAUACGGGAAGAACCACAGUCCUGCGGGAUUGUCUGACGGUACCGUACGAAUAAGCACCGGCUAACUCCGUGCCAGCAGCCGCGGUAAUACGGAGGGUGCAAGCGUUGUCCGGAAUUAUUGGGUUUAAAGGGUACGCAGGCGGUAUGUUAAGUCAGUGGUGAAAGUUUGCAGCUCAACUGUAAAAGCGCCAUUGAUACUGGCAUACUUGAGUAUCGGAGAGGUAGGCGGAAUUCCUCAUGUAGCGGUGAAAUGCACAGAUAUGAGGAGGAACUCCAAAAGCGAAGGCAGCUUACUGGCCGAUAACUGACGCUGAGGUACGAAAGCGUG
Molecule: ribosomal RNA, 709 nt
Filed under: uncultured Sphingobacteriia bacterium
Lineage: Bacteria; Pseudomonadati; Bacteroidota; Sphingobacteriia
Description: bacterial SSU rRNA
Rfam family: Bacterial small subunit ribosomal RNA
Source: RNAcentral